Molecule: ribosomal RNA, 927 nt
Filed under: Draculoides sp. SCH062
Lineage: Eukaryota; Metazoa; Arthropoda; Arachnida; Schizomida; Hubbardiidae
Also listed under: 1 other name
Description: partial large subunit ribosomal RNA
Rfam family: Eukaryotic large subunit ribosomal RNA
Source: RNAcentral
UCCCUUAGUAGCGGCGAGCGAACAGGGAAGAGCCCAGCGCCGAAUUCCGCGUCUCAAAGGGCGUUUGGAACAUGUGGCGUUUAGGAGGAAUCUCUCCGAGGGCAGACGGUGUCGCAAGUCCCCCUGAACGGGGCUGUGAUCCAGAGCGGGUGCGAGGCCCAUAGCUGGUACCGUCUCCUUUGGGUGUCCCCUCCUUGGAGUCGGGUUGCUUGGGAGUGCAGCCCUAAUUGGGUGGUAAACUCCACCUAAGGCUAAAUACGUCCGUGAGACCGAUAGCAAACAAGUACCGUGAGGGAAAGUUGCAAAGAACUUUGAAGAGAGAGUUCAAGAGUACGUGAAACCGCUCAGAGGCAAACGGGUGGGCCCACGAAAGCCGAAGGCGGGGGGAUUCAGUCGAGAGGACGGUGGGGCAGGACUGGCUGGUUGGACGGACCGUGCCAGGCCGGGUCAGUUCCCGAGAUCUGCCGCCUUUCGACGCAUUUCCCCCUGCUUAGUAGGACGCCGCAACCGGUUGGCGCUGCAGCCAUAAGGGAGAGUAAAUGGAAGGUAGCCAGUGAGUUCUUCUUCGGAGGCGCGAGCUGGUCCUAAGCCGACUCUCCUGGUGCUUGUGGCCCGACCGUGGUCGUGAGUCCCUCAACGGGAUGUCGCCGAGCCCUCUGACUGGAGCGGGAGAAGUGGCAGGCUGCUUUCCGCGGAAAAAAUCGAUCGCUUCACGCGUGCAGUGGGCGAUCUCCGGAGGUAGCUGCUGGUGCGUUUUUCUCCUGCGCUGGGCACAGGCAGUUGGCGGCGAGUAGGUCGGUCACCCACCCGACCCGUCUUGAAACACGGACCAAGGAGUCUAACAUGUGCGCGAGUCAUUGGGUCUUGAACAAGCCCAAAGGCGCAAUGAAAGUGAAGACCAGCACUGAAGCUGGUGGAGUUGGGAAA